Molecule: long non-coding RNA, 168 nt
Organism: Priapulus caudatus
Lineage: Eukaryota; Metazoa; Priapulida; Priapulimorpha; Priapulimorphida; Priapulidae
Exons: 2
Source: RefSeq, a predicted model, not a curated record
AUUUUGCGUGCUAGCGUUAUCGUCGGGGAUAGGGGUUCUGUUCGUACCGGAAACACACAAUGAAAAGCUCCCGGAAACAAUAGAAGAAGCGGAAGUAUUCGGACGGAACAAGAGCAUGUUUGACUUUUCUCUCAAGAGAACGCCUUACGUGAGACCGACGACAGAAGA